This 60-nucleotide transfer RNA is filed under the name Echiuropus macronychus. RNAcentral's name for it is "tRNA-Ser". Lineage: Eukaryota; Metazoa; Arthropoda; Malacostraca; Amphipoda; Acanthogammaridae. The record is from RNAcentral.
AACCAUUAAGUUAAAACAUUUGUUUUGAAAACAUUAUAGGAGCCUAUAGCUCAAUGGUUU